CACAAUGCAGAGAACUUCCUCGCAGUGAGCAGCCUUGGGUCCUGGGGUAAUACAGCCAGCCCAGGGCAUUUGGGAAGCACUUAGCCAGGCCUGACAGUGGCCAGGCUGCUUCAUAAGACGCCUGGUGCACUAAAGAAGACUAGCAAAGCAGGGGGCGGACUAAAGUGGGCGGGAAAUGCUGCUUUCAUGCAUCUGCGUGUUGACAGGUAUGACCUCCCUGCUCACCCUGAGUUCUCUGAGUCACCUCUGUGCCCCCAGCACCCAGCACUGUGCCUGGCUCAGGGCAAAGGCUCAGAGAAUAUUUGUU
This 307-nucleotide long non-coding RNA is filed under the name Homo sapiens (human). Its description in RNAcentral is "HSALNT0290093". Lineage: Eukaryota; Metazoa; Chordata; Mammalia; Primates; Hominidae. The record is from RNAcentral.